RNAcentral lists this ribosomal RNA (582 nucleotides) under Oxalobacteraceae bacterium RDB-119. RNAcentral's name for it is "bacterial SSU rRNA". It matches the Rfam family "Bacterial small subunit ribosomal RNA", at positions 102 to 680 of the family's 1533-position model. Lineage: Bacteria; Pseudomonadati; Pseudomonadota; Betaproteobacteria; Burkholderiales; Oxalobacteraceae. The record is from RNAcentral.
ACGGGUGAGUAAUAUAUCGGAACGUACCCAAGAGUGGGGGAUAACGUAGCGAAAGUUACGCUAAUACCGCAUACGAUCUAAGGAUGAAAGCAGGGGAUCGCAAGACCUUGUGCUCCUGGAGCGGCCGAUAUCUGAUUAGCUAGUUGGUGGGGUAAAGGCCCACCAAGGCAACGAUCAGUAGCUGGUCUGAGAGGACGACCAGCCACACUGGAACUGAGACACGGUCCAGACUCCUACGGGAGGCAGCAGUGGGGAAUUUUGGACAAUGGGGGCAACCCUGAUCCAGCAAUGCCGCGUGAGUGAAGAAGGCCUUCGGGUUGUAAAGCUCUUUUGUCAGGGAAGAAAAGGCUGCGGCUAAUAUCCGCAGCUGCUGACGGUACCUGAAGAAUAAGCACCGGCUAACUACGUGCCAGCAGCCGCGGUAAUACGUAGGGUGCAAGCGUUAAUCGGAAUUACUGGGCGUAAAGCGUGCGCAGGCGGUUUCGUAAGUCUGUCGUGAAAUCCCCGGGCUUAACCUGGGAAUGGCGAUGGAGACUGCGAGGCUAGAGUUUGGCAGAGGGGGGUAGAAUUCCACGUGUAGCA